GCGCCGAUGAUCUAGUGGCAUGAUUCGAGCUUCCCAAGCUCGUUGUGCGGGUUCGAUGACAUCCUGUCCCAUGGGGCGGGAGGUUUGAAACGCGAAGCGUUUCAGGAAUAUCCCGCUCGGCGCACCA
Molecule: transfer RNA, 127 nt
Filed under: Candidatus Aenigmatarchaeota archaeon
Lineage: Archaea; Nanobdellati; Candidatus Aenigmatarchaeota
Description: tRNA-Gly
Source: RNAcentral